Molecule: long non-coding RNA, 457 nt
Organism: Phragmites australis (common reed)
Lineage: Eukaryota; Viridiplantae; Streptophyta; Magnoliopsida; Poales; Poaceae
Exons: 3
Source: RefSeq, a predicted model, not a curated record
AGGUUGUUUCUUAUUUAUAUGUGGGGAUUUUUGGUGGAGAUGCAACUUGACAUCAUAAACUAAUUUCGAGGCUUAUGAUCAAGAUGUGUAGGUAGAAUAUGUUGUCUGUGGCAAUGGUAUCCCAAAAUUUGACUGGCAGACCUAACUAUUUGCCAACAAUUCUCCUAUUUACUCUCUUCAUUGCUGAGUGAUUAAGGUGGCUUUCGAACAAUUAAUCGACUUGAAUUCUUGGCACCAUCAAGGAUGUUGUUGAGUUUCAAGUGAUUCUGGCAUUGUUUGAUGGUCUGAUGAGCGUCCUGCAGGCUCUUGAGAUUUCUAAGAGACUAAAGUUGUGAGCUCCACAAUAGAAGCGAGCUGACUAAAGUACAUCUCUACUGAUGAUUGAUUGUUGCUAUUUGAUAAUGACUGGGAUCAAAUAGCAAUAUUCAGAAGCAGCUGUACUACAGUGAGCAAGCAU